This 253-nucleotide ribosomal RNA is filed under the name uncultured bacterium. RNAcentral describes it as "partial 16S ribosomal RNA". It matches the Rfam family "Bacterial small subunit ribosomal RNA", at positions 524 to 776 of the family's 1533-position model. The record is from RNAcentral.
UACGAAGGGGGCUAGCGUUGCUCGGAAUCACUGGGCGUAAAGCGCACGUAGGCGGCUUUUUAAGUCAGGGGUGAAAUCCUGGAGCUCAACUCCAGAACUGCCUUUGAUACUGAGAAGCUUGAGUCCGGGAGAGGUGAGUGGAACUGCGAGUGUAGAGGUGAAAUUCGUAGAUAUUCGCAAGAACACCAGUGGCGAAGGCGGCUCACUGGCCCGGUACUGACGCUGAGGCACGAAAGCCAGGGGAGCAAACGGG